GCAUGGGUGGCUUAGUCGGUUGAGUGUCUGACUUUGGCUCAGGUCAUGAUCUCGCGGUUCGUGGGUUCGAGCCCCACGUCGGGCU
RNAcentral lists this transfer RNA (85 nucleotides) under Felis catus (domestic cat). It matches the Rfam family "tRNA". From Rfam's summary of the family: Transfer RNA (tRNA) molecules are approximately 80 nucleotides in length. Their secondary structure includes four short double-helical elements and three loops (D, anti-codon, and T loops). Further hydrogen bonds mediate the characteristic L-shaped molecular structure. tRNAs have two regions of fundamental functional importance: the anti-codon, which is responsible for specific mRNA codon recognition, and the 3' end, to which the tRNAs corresponding amino acid is attached (by aminoacyl-tRNA synthetases). tRNAs cope with the degeneracy of the genetic code in two manners: having more than one tRNA (with a specific anti-codon) for a particular amino acid; and 'wobble' base-pairing, i.e. permitting non-standard base-pairing at the 3rd anti-codon position. The record is from Rfam by way of RNAcentral. Lineage: Eukaryota; Metazoa; Chordata; Mammalia; Carnivora; Felidae. RNAcentral also lists the same sequence under 3 other names.